Molecule: ribosomal RNA, 447 nt
Filed under: uncultured bacterium
Lineage: Bacteria
Description: bacterial SSU rRNA
Rfam family: Bacterial small subunit ribosomal RNA
Source: RNAcentral
UACGGAAGGCAGCAGUGGGGAAUAUUGCACAAUGGGCGCAAGCCUGAUGCAGCCAUGCCGCGUGUAUGAAGAAGGCCUUCGGGUUGUAAAGUACUUUCAGUCGUGAGGAAGGUGUUAAGGUUAAUAACCUUAGCAAUUGACGUUAGCGACAGAAGAAGCACCGGCUAACUCCGUGCCAGCAGCCGCGGUAAUACGGAGGGUGCGAGCGUUAAUCGGAAUUACUGGGCGUAAAGGGCACGCAGGCGGUUAAUUAAGUUGGAUGUGAAAUCCCCGGGCUUAACCUGGGAAUGGCAUUCAAGACUGGUUAGCUAGAGUCUUGUAGAGGGGGUAGAAUUCCAUGUGUAGCGGUGAAAUGCGUAGAGAUGUGGAGGAAUACCGGUGGCGAAGGCGGCCCCUGGGACAAAGGACUGACGCUCAUGUGCGAAAGCGUGGGGAGCGAAACAGGGA